AACUUGGGCAAAGUUGUAGCUGGCCUUAGCAAUGGGGCAUGUGCACACUUUGUUCAUCCACCCUUCACACCUCUGUGCACUUCUCAUGGGUUUGGGUUGCGUCUGAAAAUAUGACAAAGCUCCUUCUCAUGUGUUUUAACCACACACUAUACAAGUUUUAGAAUGUAACAAUCAUGCAUUAAUGCAUUAUAAUACAACUUUCAGCAACGGAUCUCUUGGCUCUCGCAUCGAUGAAGAACGCAGCGAAAUGCGAUAAGUAAUGUGAAUUGCAGAAUUCAGUGAAUCAUCGAAUCUUUGAACGCACCUUGCGCUCCUUGGUAUUCCGAGGAGCAUGCCUGUUUGAGUGUCAUGGUAUUCUCAACCCUGCUACAUUUUUUUGUAGUUGGGCUUGGACUUGGAGGUUUAUUGCUGGUGUUCUUUUUUUGAACAUUGGCUCCUCUGAAAUGCAUUAGCUGGAAUGUUACCGAGCAUGAUUCAAUGUGAUAAUUGUCUACGUUGCUUCAUCUUUGUAUUAAUUCUGUUUCAGCUUUCUAAUCGUCUUUACAGACAAUAUCUUGAACAUCUGACCUCAAAUCAGGUAGGACUACCCGCUGAACUUAAGCAUAUCAAUAAGCGGAGGAAAAGAAACUAACAAGGAUUCCCCUAGUAACUGCGAGUGAAGCGGGAAAAGCUCAAAUUUAAAAUCUGGCAGCUUUGGCUGUCCGAGUUGUAGUCUGGAGAAGUGUUUUCUGUGCUGGACCGUGUACAAGUCUCUUGGAACAGAGCGUCGUAGAGGGUGAGAAUCCCGUCUUUGACACGGACUCCCAGUGCUUUGUGAUGCGCUCUCAAAGAGUCGAGUUGUUUGGGAAUGCAGCUCAAAAUGGGUGGUAAAUUCCAUCUAAAGCUAAAUAUUGGCGAGAGACCGAUAGCGAACAAGUACCGUGAGGGAAAGAUGAAAAGCACUUUGGAAAGAGAGUUAAACAGUACGUGAAAUUGCUGAAAGGGAAACGAUUGAAGUCAGUCGCGUUGGCCGGAACUCAGCCUGGCUUUUGCCUGGUGCAUUUUCUGGUGAACGGGCCAGCAUCAAUUUUGAUCGCUGGAUAAAGGCCUUGGGAAUGUGGCACCUUCGGGUGUGUUAUAGCCUUUGGUUGUAUACAGUGGUUGGGAUUGAGGAUCACAGCAUGCCUUUAUGGCCGGGGUUCGCCCACGUUCAUGCUUAGGAUGCUGGCGUAAUGGCUUUAAACGACCCGUCUUGAAACACGGACCAAGGAGUCUAACAUGCCUGCGAGUGUUUGGGUGGAAAACCCGAGCGCGCAAUGAAAGUGAAAGUUGGGAUCCCUGUCGUGGGGAGCACCGACGCCCGGACCAGACCUUUUGUGACGGAUCCGCGGUAGAGCAUGUAUGUUGGGACCCGAAAGAUGGUGAACUAUGCCUGAAUAGGGUGAAGCCAGAGGAAACUCUGGUGGAGGCUCGUAGCGAUUCUGACGUGCAAAUCGAUCGUCAAAUUUGGGUAUAGGGGCGAAAGACUAAUCGAACCAUCUAGUAGCUGGUUCCUGCCGAAGU
This 1542-nucleotide ribosomal RNA is filed under the name Antrodiella onychoides. Its description in RNAcentral is "eukaryotic LSU rRNA". The stretch from base 564 to 1542 matches the Rfam family "Eukaryotic large subunit ribosomal RNA", at positions 1 to 967 of the family's 3401-position model. The record is from RNAcentral. Lineage: Eukaryota; Fungi; Basidiomycota; Agaricomycetes; Polyporales; Steccherinaceae.